GGUUAAGUGACUUCCAAGGGUCACACAGCUAGUAAUUUCUGAGGCUGGACUUGAACUCUGAUUUAAAAAAAAUUUUUCCAAUAGUAUUUUAUUCUUCCAAAUAUAUGCCAAGGUAAUUGGCAACAUUCAUUUUUAUAAGACUUUCUGUUCCAAACUUUUCUCCCUCCCUCCCUUGCCUCUCCCCCUCACCAAGACACCAGGUAAUCUGAUACAGAUUAAAUAUAUGCAAUUCUUUUAAACAUUUCUAUAUUUGUCACGUUGUGCAAGAAAAAUCAGACCAAAAGGGAAAAAAACCCAUGAGAAAGAAAACCAAAUCAAAAAAAUGAAAAUACCAUGCUUUGAUCUAUAUUCAGUUUACAUAGUUCUCUUUCUGGUUGUGGAUGGCAUUUUCCAUCCCAAAGCUAUUGGAACUGCCUUGAAUCAUUGCUAAGAAGAGCCAAGUACAGUUGAUCAUCACAUAAUCUUGUUGUUACUAUGUACAAUGUUGUUCAGGUUCUACUCAUUUCACUCAGCAUCAAUUCAUACAAGUCUUUCCAGGUUUUUCUGAAACCAGGCAGCUCAUCAUUUUUAAAAAUUUUUUUGAAGUUUUAUUUUUUUUAAUAAUACUCAUGUUUAGUUAAUUUUAAAAAUGACUUUUGACCAGAUAUGUUUUGUCACAGCAAAAAUAAUUCUUAUUUUUAGCAAUAGGAGCUACCAAAGCUUUUUUUUUUUUUUUAAUUCUAUUUAUUGGAUUAAAUAAGAAAAAAGAAAGGCAGAAAAGGAAAAAGAAAGAAACAAAACGACAUUGCCAUGUACCCAGCAGAACAUCAGGGAAGAGUCAAAAUUUAUAAAAAUAAACUACCAUUUCAAGAAAGUAUAUAUAAUGGUACAAGAAAUUAUAUUCAUGAGUGUCUAUCUUUUCUUUAUUCCCUUGUAGGUUGAUAUUUUGUUCUCUACUGGGCAUUUUUUUACUUUAUUCUUUUUUCCCCCCUUUCAUCCUCCCCAUCUCCCCCAAGCAGGUUAUAGUUUAACACAGAUAUAUUUACAGAUAGAUAGAUAGGUAUAGAGAUAUACAUAUCUACAUGAAUACACACAUAUGUAUAUAUACACACACACACAUACAUCCACACCUACCCACAGAUCCCCCCACAUAUACAUUUAUCUAUAUACAUACCUACAUAGAACUAUAUGCAUACAUAUCUACAUAUACUCAGAAAUAUACAUAAAAUCAUGCAGUUUACCCAUAUGUAAACAUGUAUCUAAACAUAUGUAAAACCGGAUUAGUGUGGCUGACAUAAUGUAGAUUUUUCUCUUGAUUGAAUCUUUAAGUUUGACAUUGUCUAAGAUCAAUGAUUACUAGCUGUACUUUGUUUUCUAAUAAAUUCCAC
RNAcentral lists this long non-coding RNA (1367 nucleotides) under Sarcophilus harrisii (Tasmanian devil). RNAcentral describes it as "lncRNA (ENSSHAG00000031903.1)". Lineage: Eukaryota; Metazoa; Chordata; Mammalia; Dasyuromorphia; Dasyuridae. The record is from RNAcentral.